AAUUGAUUAAUGUCACUUUCUUCACUUUCAUUACAAAUAAAUUUUGUCUAAAUAUACUCUAAAAUCUAAACUCUAAACCCUCAGCUGUAUUUCGUUGUUCUGCUUUUGGGAUCCAGCAUACGCUAACAUCCCACAAAUAAAUUUAACCAAUCGCUUUGAACCAAGAAGUUACAACUACCCAAUUAAGGACUAGUAGAAAAAUAAAUGACCAAUUAAAAAUUCCAAAUUGAUAAGAAUCUGAUUAAGAAAAAAAGACCGGCUACCCGAAAUUACAAUCUAAGGGCAUCUUGGCAUAAAAACUAAAGAGAACCAACCCUAUGUGAUAGGAGAAGGAGCAUAACAAUGGAAGGAAGAGUAAGGUUUGAUUUUUCUUAAGCUUUAAUUAACAAGAAAUGUUAUAUAGAUUUCAAUGUGGCCAUUAAGUUCAUACCAUAGCUUACACUUUCGUCGCGCAGUAGUUCUACAUAUUUGGCAAUCUUUGCUUCCACACAUCACUGUAAUUAAGAAUCAAAAGAAUAAUUUAAAAAAUAAACUUUUACUUUAAAAUGUGAACAUUUCUCGUAAAUAUUUCGUGCUUCUUUUACGAAAUUUUUUAAAAAUAUAUUAUUGUCAUCACAAUGCCAUCAACUUAAUGUUAUAUUCAAAUUAUUAAUAAAUUGACGCACUACAUAUGUAUUUCUUAAUUAAUAUCCUUAGUAUAAUUCAAUUCUAAUGUCCGUUAGCUUUAUAUAAACUAGCCGUGUGAUGACGAACAAAUCUGUAAUUUAAAACUCUGGAAUUUUAUCUGACAGUAUCGUAAUACUUCCGUCGAAUUUCAACACAAGCCACAAGAUCUUAUGCAGAAAACGUUUGCCAAACAAAUUUAAGUAAAUACAACGGAUAUGUGAAGUGCUUUUAAUUAACGAAUGUAUUUUAACAUGUACUUAAUUAGUGUGUACGUCAAAAAUAUUGAAGCUAAGUAAAAAUAAUAUUUGGCUUUAA
Molecule: long non-coding RNA, 981 nt
Organism: Bombyx mori (domestic silkworm)
Lineage: Eukaryota; Metazoa; Arthropoda; Insecta; Lepidoptera; Bombycidae
Exons: 2
Source: RefSeq, a predicted model, not a curated record